Molecule: ribosomal RNA, 253 nt
Filed under: uncultured bacterium
Lineage: Bacteria
Description: partial 16S ribosomal RNA
Rfam family: Bacterial small subunit ribosomal RNA
Source: RNAcentral
UACGAAGGGGGCUAGCGUUGUUCGGAAUCACUGGGCGUAAAGGGCGCGUAGGCGGCUUGAUAAGUCGGGGGUGAAAGCCUGUGGCUCAACCACAGAAUUGCCUUCGAUACUGUCGAGCUUGAGACCGGAAGAGGCGAGUGGAAUUCCCGGUGUAGCGGUGAAAUGCGCAGAUAUCGGGAGGAACACCAAUGGCGAAGGCAGCUCGCUGGGACGGUACUGACGCUGAGACGCGAAAGCGUGGGGAGCAAACAGG